This is a non-coding RNA of 92 nucleotides. It matches the Rfam family "Burkholderia RNA 7 (anti-hemB)". Rfam says of the family: This RNA motif was identified by computational search in b-proteobacteria Burkholderia. Co-purified with Hfq, expression confirmed by Northern blot.
UCUCCCGCUUCACCUCCCUGAGCGGGUGCCUUGACCCCCUGUCAAGGCAUUUCACCCCCGGCUUCAUCCCCUUUGGCCGGGGGUUUUUGUAU